Long non-coding RNA from Syzygium oleosum, 633 nucleotides. RefSeq lists it as uncharacterized. The transcript is spliced from 3 exons. The record is from RefSeq and is a predicted model, not a curated record. Lineage: Eukaryota; Viridiplantae; Streptophyta; Magnoliopsida; Myrtales; Myrtaceae.
ACGAUUUCUCUCUUCUCUCUUCGCGACCUCCUCUGUCUCUCACGGUUUCUCUCUUCGCAAGCGCCUCCUCAGUCGCCACAAGAACGCAACCUAGCUCGUUGCCUGCCUGCAUGUUGAAGAGGGCUAGGGUUCGGUCAUCUCGGCGUCCAUACCGUGCGUGUGUUUUUUCCGCCUUUUUGGCUCACCAAUCCGGUAGAUCUGAAUUUGUCAUCUGUACUAGAAGUAAAGAUGGUUGUUUUAUCACCUAGUCUGGGGAAAUUACUCCCUGUUAACAAGUUUGGACUGCUUUUUAGCCGCUUAUCUUGUGCUUUUAUACUCCAGAACUGAAGUAUGUAUGCGUUGCAGGAAGGCGGAGGGCGAACAGAAACGCAGAAAGGAGGUAAAAUUUCGUCUAAACAUUCAUCUACAAGCAUGACCUUGCAUCAAUUCUGACACAACCACUGCAAGUCUUAAGUUAACUUUUCGAGAGCUAAUGUUGUAUCCAUGACGGAUGAUGAUGAAAUGGAAACUGCUAACCAAGGCAGAGAAGGCAGCUGAGAAGUUCAAGUCAAUGAGGAGGACAGCGAACAAUGUUUGGUGAAGGAAACAACAAGUUCAAAGUAGACGAGUUCAAAGUGGACGAGUUCAAAGUUC